Molecule: transfer RNA, 74 nt
Filed under: bacterium
Lineage: Bacteria
Also listed under: 1 other name
Description: tRNA-Gln
Rfam family: tRNA
About the family: Transfer RNA (tRNA) molecules are approximately 80 nucleotides in length. Their secondary structure includes four short double-helical elements and three loops (D, anti-codon, and T loops).
Source: RNAcentral
UGGGGGAUCGUCUAGCGGCAGGACACCAGACUCUGGAUCUGGGUACGGAGGUUCGAAUCCUCCUCCCCCAGCCA